CUACGGGGGGCUCCAGUGGGGAAUAUUGCACAAUGGAGGGAACUCUGAUGCAGCAACGCCGCGUGGAGGAUGACGCAUUUCGGUGUGUAAACUCCUUUUAUAUAGGAAGAUAAUGACGGUACUAUAUGAAUAAGCACCGGCUAACUCCGUGCCAGCAGCCGCGGUAAUACGGAGGGUGCAAGCGUUACUCGGAAUCACUGGGCGUAAAGCGCAUGCAGGCGGUUAAAUAAGUUGGAAGUGAAAUCCUAUGGCUCAACCAUAGAACUGCUUCCAAAACUGUUUAACUAGAGUCUGGGAGGGGAAGAUGGAAUUAGUAGUGUAGGGGUAAAAUCCGUAGAGAUUACUAGGAAUACCAAAAGCGAAGGCGAUCUUCUGGAACAGUACUGACGCUGAGAUGCGAAAGCGUGGGGAGCAAACAGGAUUAGAUACCCGCGUAGUC
RNAcentral lists this ribosomal RNA (439 nucleotides) under uncultured bacterium. RNAcentral describes it as "partial 16S ribosomal RNA". It matches the Rfam family "Bacterial small subunit ribosomal RNA", at positions 339 to 795 of the family's 1533-position model. The record is from RNAcentral.